Molecule: ribosomal RNA, 138 nt
Filed under: uncultured bacterium
Lineage: Bacteria
Description: partial 16S ribosomal RNA
Rfam family: Bacterial small subunit ribosomal RNA
Source: RNAcentral
UCGGGAAUAUUGCGCAAUGGAGGGAACUCUGACGCAGUGACGCCGCGUAUAGGAAGAAGGUUUUCGGAUUGUAAACUAUUGUCCACAGGGAAGAAAAAAGACUGUACCUGUGAAGAAAGCUCCGGCUAACUACGUGCC